GGGGAAUAUUGGACAAUGGGGGGAACCCUGAUCCAGCCAUGCCGCGUGUGUGAAGAAGGCCUUAUGGUUGUAAAGCACUUUAAGCGAGGAGGAGGCUCUUUUGGUUAAUACCCAAGAUGAGUGGACGUUACUCGCAGAAUAAGCACCGGCUAACUCUGUGCCAGCAGCCGCGGUAAUACAGAGGGUGCGAGCGUUAAUCGGAUUUACUGGGCGUAAAGCGUGCGUAGGCGGCUUUUUAAGUCGGAUGUGAAAUCCCCGAGC
This 261-nucleotide ribosomal RNA is filed under the name uncultured bacterium. RNAcentral's name for it is "partial 16S ribosomal RNA". It matches the Rfam family "Bacterial small subunit ribosomal RNA", at positions 356 to 608 of the family's 1533-position model. The record is from RNAcentral.